Molecule: ribosomal RNA, 441 nt
Filed under: uncultured bacterium
Lineage: Bacteria
Description: partial 16S ribosomal RNA
Rfam family: Bacterial small subunit ribosomal RNA
Source: RNAcentral
CUACGGGCCGCUGCAGUGGGGAAUAUUGGGCAAUGGGCGCAAGCCUGACCCAGCAACGCCGCGUGAGGGAAGAAGGUUUUCGGAUUGUAAACCUCUGUCCUUGGGGACGAAGAAGUGACGGUACCCAAGGAGGAAGCUCCGGCUAACUACGUGCCAGCAGCCGCGGUAAUACGUAGGGAGCAAGCGUUGUCCGGAAUUACUGGGCGUAAAGGGUGCGUAGGCGGCAUAUUAAGUCAGGUGUGAAAUACUCGGGCUCAACCCGAGGGGUGCAUUUGAAACUGAUAAGCUUGAGUGUGAGAGAGGAAAGUGGAAUUCCUAGUGUAGCGGUGGCAUGCGUAGAUAUUAGGAGGAACACCAGUGGCGAAGGCGACUUUCUGGCUCAUAACUGACGCUGAGGCACGAAAGCGUGGGGAGCAAACAGGAUUAGAUACCCGAGUAGUC